This 202-nucleotide ribosomal RNA is filed under the name Bacillus mycoides. RNAcentral's name for it is "16S rRNA. Bacterial SSU". It matches the Rfam family "Bacterial small subunit ribosomal RNA", at positions 1 to 195 of the family's 1533-position model. Lineage: Bacteria; Bacillati; Bacillota; Bacilli; Caryophanales; Bacillaceae. The record is from RNAcentral.
CUUUAUUGGAGAGUUUGAUCCUGGCUCAGGAUGAACGCUGGCGGCGUGCCUAAUACAUGCAAGUCGAGCGAAUGGAUUAAGAGCUUGCUCUUAUGAAGUUAGCGGCGGACGGGUGAGUAACACGUGGGUAACCUACCCAUAAGACUGGGAUAACUCCGGGAAACCGGGGCUAAUACCGGAUAAUAUUUUGAACUGCAUAGUU